Molecule: non-coding RNA, 21 nt
Filed under: Caenorhabditis elegans
Lineage: Eukaryota; Metazoa; Nematoda; Chromadorea; Rhabditida; Rhabditidae
Source: RNAcentral
UCGAUAGACUUUGUUCAAAUU